Molecule: ribosomal RNA, 1483 nt
Filed under: uncultured Bordetella sp.
Lineage: Bacteria; Pseudomonadati; Pseudomonadota; Betaproteobacteria; Burkholderiales; Alcaligenaceae
Description: partial 16S-23S ribosomal RNA intergenic spacer
Rfam family: Bacterial small subunit ribosomal RNA
Source: RNAcentral
AGUUUGAUCCUGGCUCAGAUUGAACGCUGGCGGGAUGCUCUUUACACAUGCAAGUCGAACGGCAGCACGGACUUCGGUCUGGUGUUGAGCGAGUGGCGAACAGGUGAGAGUAAUGUAUCGGAACGUGCCUAGUAGCGGGGGAUAACUACGCGAAGGCAUUAAUAAUACCACGCCUGCAUAAAGGGAAAGCGAGGACCUUCGGGCCUCGCACUAAUGAAACGGCCGAUAUCGGAUUAGCUAGUUGGUGGGGUAACACGGCUCGCAGGCGACGUCCGUAGCUGGUUUGGGGGCGGACUGACUGACCUAUACUGGGCUGGAACCACGGCCCAGACUCCUGCGGGAGGCAGCAGUGGGGUACCUGGACAAUGGAAACCUGAUCCAGCCAUCUCGCGUGUGCGAUGAAGGCCUUCGGGUUGUAAAGCACUUUUGGCAGGAGAAGAAACUGGCACGGGAUAAUACCCGUGCAACUGACGGUACCUGCAGAAUAAGCACCCGGCUAACUACGUGCCAGCAGCGCGGUAAUACGUAGAGGUGCAAGCGUUAAUCGGAAUUACUGGGCGUAAAGCGUGCGCGAGCGGUUCGGAAGAAAGAUGUGAAAUCCCAGAGCUUAACUUUGGAGACUGCAUUUAACUACCGAGCUAGAGUGUGUCAGAGGGAGGUGGAAUUCCGCGUGUAGCAGUGAAAUGCGUAGAUAUAUGGAGGAACACCGAUGGCGAAGGCAACCUCCUGGGAUAACACUGACGCUCAUGCACGAAAACGUGGAGCAAACGGGAUUAGAUACCCUGGUAGUCCACGCCCUAAACGAUGUCAACUGGCUGUUUGGGGCCUUCGGGCGGCAAAAAUUGAAACAAUAACGCAUGAAGUUGACCGCCUGGGGAGUACGGUCGCCAAGAUUAAAACUCAAAGGAAUUGACAGGGACCCGCACAAGCAGUGGAUGAUGUGGGUCGAUUGAUGCCAAACACGAAAAACCUUACCUACCCUUGACGUGUCUGGAAUCGAAGAGAUUUGGGAGCGCCAUGAAGACAGUUUGGGUGCUGCAUGGCUGUCGUAAGCUCGUGUCGUGAGAUGUUGGGUUAAGUCCGCAACGAGCGCAACCCUUGGUCUGUUAGUUGCUACGAAGAGGAGCACUCUAAUAGGACUGCCGGUGACAAACCGGAGGAAGGUGGGGAUGACGUCAAGUCCUCAUGACCCUUAUGGGUAGGGCUUCACACCGUCAUACAAUGGUCAGGACAGAGGGUCAAACCAAUAUGAGAGGCCAAUCAGAAACCCGAUCGUAGUCCGGAUCGCAGUCUGCAACUCGACUGCGUGAAGUCCAGAAUCUUCGCUAAUGAUGGAUCAACAUAUCGUGGUGAAUACGUUCCCGGGUCUUGUACACACCGCCCGUCACACCAUGGGAGUGGGUUUUGCAGAAGUAGUUAGCCUAACCGUAAGGGCGAUUACCACGGUAGGAUUCAUGACUGGGGUGAAGUCGUAACAAGGUAG